This 321-nucleotide unclassified non-coding RNA is filed under the name Hevea brasiliensis (rubber tree). Lineage: Eukaryota; Viridiplantae; Streptophyta; Magnoliopsida; Malpighiales; Euphorbiaceae. The record is from RNAcentral.
ACAACCUCUUUAAAUGUGUUCAUGGUAUCUUGUUCAUCAAAUUUUUUUCUGCUGUUCCAUAUUUGAGUUACUGACUCUUUCUUCUUAUUUUGAAUAUGUAAGUGUCUUUUCCUUAAUCUAAAAGAAGAAAAGAAAAAAGGUGAAUAGCUAGCUUAUUGAAGAAAAACUACUUAAGAGAACAAUCAUGGGGCCUUUCUCAAAUUACUUUCAAAGUUGAAAAAUGGUCUACGAGAGGGUUCUUUUGUCUGAUCAAGUAGAAAAGCAGAGUAUGUGAAUGAGUAAUGAGUAGCUUAUUGAAUUGGAAAGGCAGCUGUUAGCUGC